GAUGAACGCUAGCUACAGGCUUAACACAUGCAAGUCGCGGGGCAGCAUGGGGGUUGCUUGCAAUCCCCGAUGGCGACCGGCGCACGGGUGAGUAACGCGUAUCCAACCUGCCCUUCACCACGGGAUAACCCGGCGAAAGUCGGACUAAUACCGUAUGUUGUCCAUUGACGGCAUCCGAUUUGGACGAAAGGUUUGGCGGUGAAGGAUGGGGAUGCGUCCGAUUAGCUGGACGGCGGGGUGACGGCCCACCGUGGCGACGAUCGGUAGGGGUUCUGAGAGGAAGGUCCCCCACACUGGAACUGAGACACGGUCCAGACUCCUACGGGAGGCAGCAGUGAGGAAUAUUGGUCAAUGGGCGUAAGCCUGAACCAGCCAAGUAGCGUGCAGGAUGACGGCCCUAUGGGUCGUAAACUGCUUUUAUGCGGGGAUAAAGUGGCCCACGUGUGGGUUUUUGCAGGUACCGCAUGAAUAAGGACCGGCUAAUUCCGUG
Molecule: ribosomal RNA, 490 nt
Filed under: uncultured bacterium
Lineage: Bacteria
Description: partial 16S ribosomal RNA
Rfam family: Bacterial small subunit ribosomal RNA
Source: RNAcentral